AAAGUCAUCCCCUGAUUUGUGAAGGUGGAGAAAAGAAAGGAAAGAAAGAAAAACUUUACCAGACAGUAAAACAACUCAUAAACCUGUCAGGAGUAAUUCCAGCAGCUGUGGUGGAAAUGAAAGGCAGUUGCAGACACCUUGGGCCUUUCCGUGGCAGGGAGCUGCACUGACUAAGAAAGGCCACAAGCUGUGACUGGAAUGGUGGAAAGGAACAGAGUUUUUAGACUGCAGAACCUUAACCAACUUAGCCUCAGCUUUGCAGGGCUGUGCUGUGAGAGCAACUUGAACUUGAGAGCGAAAUCCUCUAAUUAAGAGGCAAUUACAAAGAACUUCUGCUUGGAUCAUAUGUGAAGCAGCAAGAACCUCAAAUGAGACAGCUCUGAGCCCCUUGGAUCUCCAGAGGGACCAGGAAGUGGUGGGGGCAAGCAAGUCUUGGAUUAACGGAUGACCUUCCUGAAGGUUCGUGCGAGGAGUGACAUUCCUCUCCUGUGACUCUCCAGUUUUGUCAAAAUUAUCCAACGAUUCCACUUGACUUCACACGGGAACAAUGCUCAGGCUACAAAACAAUUGGAACAGAGUUCAUGCACAGGCUACACACUCGCAUCACCUCAGGAUAGCUGCUUCUCCUGCCACACCACAUCCUCUGACUUUCACCCUAUCCUACACUAUUAUCCAGUUAGACACAGAAUACUUGAGGGCACAGUCUCCAGCACCGUUCUAGACAACUUAGCAGAGAGAGGGUGUCUAGGCUGAACCUUCAAAUAGAGUGCAGCUGUUAGUUCUAACCUGGGUUUGAAAGAGCACCGGGUGCCUGCUGGGUGUUCUGGCUGUCUGCUGAAGUACAGGGUGCCUGCUGGGAGCAUGGAUGUCUGUCGAGAGGAUGGGGUGUCUGCUCAGAGCACAAAGUGACAGCUUGGAGCACAGAGUGUCUGCUGGGAGCACCACGUGUUGGAAGCAUGAGGUGUCUGCUGGAAGCUCAAGGUGUCUGCCUGGAGCUCAAGAUGUCUCCUGGGAGCACAGGGUGUCUAUUGUGGGCACAGGGUGACUGCUUAUAACACAGGGAGUCUGCUGGGAGCACGAGGUGUCUGUUGAGAGGAUGGGGUGUCUGCUCAGAGCCGUCCACUCUGUAAAAACUGUUCUGUUUCUAACCUGUUGGGCUGAAGAGACAUUCAAAGGUUUCCAUGUGAAUCCUAAAUCCCAAUUUAUUUUUCAAAUAGGUGAACAUUACUGAGACUAUACUCUGGACACCCUAGUCCAUUGUGUCAGUUACCAGGAGGACAAACACUCCGAAUAACUUGUACUAUUUUUCUUUAGCUCCUACUGCAUGUAUAAGUUUGUGGGCAGUGGCUGUCACAGGGCUAUGGCUUUGUCAAAAGAAAAAGAAGGAUAAAUGGAGAUUUGGCAAAUUAUUUUUUUAUCUAACAUGGCAAAUAUAGUGGUCACUUGACAGGUGCAUUAUCUGCCUUAUCAGUCAAAUGUGCUACACUGGAUUGCUACACUGGAUUGAUGUGAGCUGUGAGCCAGCAAAUCCUUCACCUCCAACAGCUGACAUGGCAAGAGAAUGAAGAAGAAUCUAGUUUAUGACAGGAAAAAAGAGGCAACAGUUCUGAGUUCAAGACUAUCUUAAGGAACUAGAGGCACUGAGCUUUACUAGGCAGGGUAAAGUAAAAUAAAUAAAUAAAUAAAUAAAUAAAACUCCUUGACUUAACUUAGAUACUCCUGUGUUGUUCUUUUCUUUUUUCUUUCUUUCUUUACUUUUUUUUUUUUUUUCCGAGACAGGGUUUCUCUGUAUUGUUUUAGAGGCUGUCCUGGGACUUGAUCUAUAGACCAGGCUGGUCUUGAACUCACAGAGAUCCACCUGCCUCUGCCUCCUGAGUGCUGGGAUUAAAGGCAUGUGCCACCAAUGCCCAGCUCUCCUGUGUUGUUCUUAUCUAAGAUGUUCUAUUUACCAGUAAAGACUCAGGAGUUAGAUAUUGGUGUGAAAACAUACUAAAUCAGAGAAGCCAAG
Molecule: long non-coding RNA, 2008 nt
Filed under: Cricetulus griseus (Chinese hamster)
Lineage: Eukaryota; Metazoa; Chordata; Mammalia; Rodentia; Cricetidae
Description: lncRNA (ENSCGRG00015041875.1)
Source: RNAcentral